Molecule: non-coding RNA, 715 nt
Organism: Solanum lycopersicum (tomato)
Lineage: Eukaryota; Viridiplantae; Streptophyta; Magnoliopsida; Solanales; Solanaceae
Source: RefSeq, a predicted model, not a curated record
AAAAUAAAAAAAAUUUUUGGACACAAAUUGCUUUUAAUAUUUUUUUGACACAUUCUCUUUAUCUAGUCAUAUUUGUAAAUACACUUAUAAUAGAAUAGGAAAAAAGAGAGUUUGCUCUUGAUCUCUGUAUGCUUUGUCUUAUUUUUUGUUUCUUAUUUUACUUUUCGUUUAAUUUUAAAAUAGGUUAUCAACACAAAUUUUAUAAAUUAUUAAAGAUAUCAACGACACAAAUAGCCGAAUGAUGAGUUUACAUAUAGCAAAGGAGGACAAUUAGCAGUAGUGUUCCUCAUGGAGGUCACUGUUGACGAAAUUGCAUAAUUCAUUGAUCCGACCUAACUUCACGCAAAGUAACCAUCUCUACUAGACUAAUUAGGACAUCUAUGUAAUAAGUUAGCUCAUUUGAUAACUUUACUGUAAUUACUAGUCCGUCUACGGAGUAUGUUUUACAUAACUAUUCUGUAAUUCCUUAGCAUUAUAAAUAUAAUAUUAUCCUUGUAACCUAUAUAAUUGAGUAAUAAAUUUACAUAGGCUUGGGGUGAGACUCAUUGCACGUUGGCAUAAUAUGUCAUUGAUUAAGGGUAAGAUAGUAAAUUUAAGUGUCAUCGCACCAAGAGGAUAAUACAUCAAGUUAAAAUUUUGGCCUAACAUUUUUAGUUCGAUUCCUAUCAUAUUAUGGCCUAAAAUGCUUUUAUAAUGAUAAGAUAUUGAUUCAAGU